RNAcentral lists this ribosomal RNA (458 nucleotides) under uncultured bacterium. RNAcentral describes it as "partial 16S ribosomal RNA". It matches the Rfam family "Bacterial small subunit ribosomal RNA", at positions 338 to 795 of the family's 1533-position model. The record is from RNAcentral.
CCUACGGGAGGCAGCAGUGAGGAAUAUUGGUCAAUGGCCGGAAGGCUGAACCAGCCAUGCCGCGUGAAGGUCAGUGCCCUAUGGGCGUUAAACUUCUUUUGUGCGGGAGGAAUAAUGGUCACGUGUGGCCAGACGAGAGUACCGUACGAAUAAGCAUCGGCUAAGUCCGUGCAAGCAGCCGCGGUAAUACGGGGGAUGCAAGGUUUAUCCGGAUUUAUUGGGUUAAAGGGGUGCGUAGGGGGAUCGUAAAGUCGGUGGUAAAAUUGAGGGGCUCAACCCCUUCCCGCCAUUGAAACUGGCGCUCUUGAGUGGAAGAGAAGUAUGCGGAAUGCGUGGUGUAGCGGUGAAAUGCAUAGAUAUCACGCAGAACCCCGAUUGCGAAGGCAGUCUGCCGGCUUCCGACUGACGCUGAAGCGCGAAAGCGUGGGGAUCGAACAGGAUUAGAUACCCCUGUAGUC